Molecule: small nuclear RNA, 107 nt
Filed under: Tupaia belangeri chinensis (Chinese tree shrew)
Lineage: Eukaryota; Metazoa; Chordata; Mammalia; Scandentia; Tupaiidae
Source: RNAcentral
GUGCUCGCUUUGGCAGCACAUAUACUAAAAUUGGAACGAUACAGAGAAGAUUAGCAUGGCCCCUGCUCAAGGAUGACAUGCAAAUUCGUGAAGCAUUCCAUAUUUUU